AACGAACGCUGGCGGCAUGCCUAACACAUGCAAGUCGAACGAGACCUUCGGGUCUAGUGGCGCACGGGUGCGUAACGCGUGGGAAUCUGCCCUUGGGUUCGGAAUAACAGUUGGAAACGACUGCUAAUACCGGAUGAUGACGUAAGUCCAAAGAUUUAUCGCCCAGGGAUGAGCCCGCGUAGGAUUAGCUAGUUGGUGGGGUAAAGGCCUACCAAGGCGACGGUCCUUAGCUGGUCUGAGAGGAUGAUCAGCCACACUGGGACUGGGACACGGCCCAGACUCCUACGGGAGGCAGCAGUGGGGAAUAUUGGACAAUGGGCGAAAGCCUGAUCCAGCAAUGCCGCGUGAGUGAUGAAGGCCUUAGAGUUGUAAAGCUCUUUUACCCGGGAUGAUAAUGACAGUACCGGGAGAAUAAGCCCCGGCUAACUCCGUG
Molecule: ribosomal RNA, 433 nt
Filed under: uncultured bacterium
Lineage: Bacteria
Description: partial 16S ribosomal RNA
Rfam family: Bacterial small subunit ribosomal RNA
Source: RNAcentral